AAGUCGUAACAAGGUUUCCGUAGGUGAACCUGCGGAAGGAUCAUUAUUGAAUGAACUUGGUAUGAUUGUUGCUGGCCCAUCUGGGCAUGUGCACGUCUGCCAUCUUUAUCUCUCCACCUGUGCACAUAUUGUAGGUCUGGAAUAAAUUUCUGAGGCAACUCAGUAGUGGGGAAUGCUGCUGCGAAGUGGCUUUGCCUGUAAUUUCAGAUCUAUGUUUUCAUAUACACCCUAAAAAUGUAACAGAAUGUAUUAAUGGGUCUUGUACCUAUAAACUAUAUACAACUUUCAGCAACGGAUCUCUUGGCUCUC
Molecule: unclassified non-coding RNA, 309 nt
Filed under: Pholiota adiposa
Lineage: Eukaryota; Fungi; Basidiomycota; Agaricomycetes; Agaricales; Strophariaceae
Description: partial internal transcribed spacer region
Rfam family: Eukaryotic small subunit ribosomal RNA (bases 1-46)
Source: RNAcentral